GUGAGGGAAGAGGCUCGGGUCUGGUUGCAGAGGUCCGAAAUCAGAGCUGAUUCAUAGGUGGGGCUGAUUCUGUGAUUCUAAUUCUGUGGUGCAGGCAGCUCAAAGCCAGGUUACAGAAUCACAGAAUCGAUUAGGUUGGAAAAGACUUCUGAGAUCAUCAACCUGUGACAGAACAGCACCUUGUCAAGUAAAGCAUGGCACUAAGUGCCAAUCUUUCCUUAAAAACUUCAGGAAUGGAGACUCCGCUACCUCUCUGGGCAGCCCAUUCCAAUGUCUAAUCACCCUUUCUGUGAAGAAAUUCCUCCAGAUGUCCAACCUAAAACUACCCUAGUGCAGUGUAAGACUGUGUCCUCUCAUUCUGUCACUGGUUGCCUGGGAGAAGAGACCGACCCUCACCUGGGUAGAAGCUCCUUUUGGGGAGUUGUAAAGAGCGAUAAGGUCACCCCUGAGCCUUCUCUUCUCCAGGCUAAACCUGGCUUGGUCCACUCAAACCUUUAGUGGUUUCCAUCGAACAUAGCUCUACAAGUUUCCAGUGACUCCACUUCACCCUAAAAGUGAAGGACAAGUUGGCCACCUGGUCCCAGUGAAGGUGGCCACUCCAGACCACCAGCCCAGCUGGCUGGUGCUUGUCACCCUCACCCCCAGAGUCAUGGUGUGUAGUCCCACGCCAGCUCCCACCCUGGCCUGCACAGCCAGUCUGGAUGAAAGGGCACCCAGUAAAGGUGUUUCAAGUAGAUGACUUCAGGCUCAUCCAUGGCGUGUUUAUUUUACAAUAGGAUUUCCUGGGUCAGAAAACCUGCAAAACAUUUUUCCUCCAAGGAGAGACCAGGUAUACUACUCCUGCACAAUGGAGGAGACAGGAGGCAGUUUAGCAACAUGGCUAAACUGCUUUUCUUCUAAAUGAAGCUGCUGCCCACAGCCUUUGCCACGCUGUCCUGUCAGCCUGGGGAGGACUUCACUGCAGCUCUUCAGCCAGGUGCUGCAGACUCUGUGCAAUUCAGAUGGGGACCAGGGCAUCACUGUGCCAUUUUCCACACAUGGCCAGGUGGUCCAGAUGCUCCAUGCAUUUAUGAUCUACUGCUUUCAAUCAAAGUGAAGAACACCAGACAACAGAGAGCCUCGAGAGUCCUAGACUGAAGGUGCUGGACAAGCUCAAGUCCAAAGCAACAGAACAGCCAGUGAUGUUAACCACAGUGACUGGAAAAAGCAGUAGCAAGGAGAGCUUAGAAGACAGAUUAAGAGCUCUGGUGAGCCAUACUGAGCUUGAGCCGACAGCGAGACAUUCAGAGAGAAGCAGACUGAGCUUUGGGCUUGGACAGACUGGAGCAGACAGGUGGAUUUGAGUGAUCAGGGCUUUUUUAUUCCUGUGGUUUCAAAUUCUGACAAAAUGUGAAUGAGGAGAAAUUGAGAGAAAUUUCAUGGAAAUAAAUUCAUCUUCUGAAUAUUUUUAUUAGAAGUUCUUCCUUUGCCUUGAGUCUAGACAGAGGAGAUAUUUUUCAGUGCCUGGAACACGUUCCUGAAUGCAGCCAGAAAACAUGGA
Vidua macroura (Pin-tailed whydah) is the source of this 1540-nucleotide long non-coding RNA. RefSeq lists it as uncharacterized. The record is from RefSeq and is a predicted model, not a curated record. The transcript is spliced from 4 exons. Lineage: Eukaryota; Metazoa; Chordata; Aves; Passeriformes; Viduidae.